UGAGAGGAGAGCCCAAAACUCGGCUUUUUAGGUUUUCACUUAACAGCCGUCACACCUCUUUCUCUCUCAUCAGUCCCUCACUCCCUCUCUCUCUCCUCUCCUCCCCUCUCCGUCAUUCACCUCUUCUCUUUCUUUUCAAACUCAGGCCCUCUCAUUUCGAGGAGCAACGAGAAGACCUUGAGCAGCGAUUGCGUUCAUCUUGAGACCGGCGGCUUCAUACAUUAACUCCCAAGCGGCGUCGGUUUUGGGCGGAGGUGUAACCGGCGAUGACGAACAACCAAGCCCGUAGGCUUCUUCCUCUUUAGAUCUAAGUCGUAGAUCUAAGUCGUUGAACGAACCGAUGCUAGAUUUCCAUUGCAAAUAAGGAACUAUAAAGUGAUUUUACAAAAGCAUAGAGGUAUAAAGUGACCAGAAACUUUCAAAGUCCAGUGACUCCAGUCUGACAGAUGAUCAGAAUAAAAUGGCAAUGUCGUGGACUGGUGUAGGUAGCAAUCCUAUUGAUGUUACGGAUUCAUGUUGGGAGAUGUAUGUCAUUGUUCAGAAGAUAGCUGACCUAGAGGGAGACCAGAGUAGAUUGCUAUAAACAGCUCUAGAUAUGAGCAAGAUACAGUUUAACAAGGAUGUUGGGCAAGCAAUGCGGCAAAGCUAGUCAAGAGUUUUGGAGAGCUUAGCAUUUACAUUAUGGCUAGACUAGACAUUUAUUAUUUUAGGUAGUCUUAUGUAAACUUGUUUAAUUAUUAUUACAAUGAUUUGUUUUUGCUUUGUUUUACUUUUAGUUAUUAGGAAAUAAUUAAAGCAGCUUUUCUUGAUUGUAUAUUAUUUGGUAAUUAUUAA
Long non-coding RNA from Chenopodium quinoa (quinoa), 834 nucleotides. RefSeq lists it as uncharacterized. The transcript has 4 exons. Lineage: Eukaryota; Viridiplantae; Streptophyta; Magnoliopsida; Caryophyllales; Amaranthaceae. The record is from RefSeq and is a predicted model, not a curated record.